AGUGAAGAAGGCCAGGAAGAGCAGAGGAUGGUGCCAGGAGGAUGAUGUCGGGGGACACAGGCAGCUCAUGCCUGGAUCAGGCAGUGACUGGUAACAGAAGGAGAGUCCAUGCUGGUGGGCCCAGGGGAACAUAGGUGGUCAAGCAGGGCAGUACUUGGUGUCUGGGGAUGCAGUGUGCGACCUCCUGUAUUCGGUGCGAGGCACAUGGGGCCAGCAGGAGCUGGUGUGAGCCCGGGUCUGAAGGGUGGUGGGAUCUUAGUGGGGAAGACUGGGAAGACAGCAGGGAGGAAGAACUCAGGCUGGAGGAGGAUGGGGGCCUGGGAGGAUCCCUGCCACACUGUUAGGAAGCCAGGGAGCUUG
This 360-nucleotide long non-coding RNA is filed under the name Homo sapiens (human). Its description in RNAcentral is "non-protein coding lnc-ZC3H12D-2:4". Lineage: Eukaryota; Metazoa; Chordata; Mammalia; Primates; Hominidae. The record is from RNAcentral.